Molecule: ribosomal RNA, 257 nt
Filed under: uncultured Peptostreptococcus sp.
Lineage: Bacteria; Bacillati; Bacillota; Clostridia; Peptostreptococcales; Peptostreptococcaceae
Description: partial 16S ribosomal RNA
Rfam family: Bacterial small subunit ribosomal RNA
Source: RNAcentral
CGGACGGGUGAGUAACGCGUGGGUAACCUGCCCUAUACACAUGGAUAACAUACUGAAAAGUUUACUAAUACAUGAUAAUAUAUAUUUACGGCAUCGUAGAUAUAUCAAAGUGUUAGCGGUAUAGGAUGGACCCGCGUCUGAUUAGCUAGUUGGUGAGAUAACUGCCCACCAAGGCGACGAUCAGUAGCCGACCUGAGAGGGUGAUCGGCCACAUUGGAACUGAGAAACGGUCCAAACUCCUACGGGAGGCAGCAGCG